UAAUUCUUUGCGAUAUCUUCUAACACUUUUAUUUAUUUAUUUAUUUAUUUAUUUAUUUAUUUAUUUUUGAGAGAGAGAGAGAGCUGCGAGAUGGGCAGAGGGAGAGGGAGAGAGACAGUCCCAAGCAGGUUCCACACCCAGCAUGGGGCCCAGUGCAGGGGCUCCAUCUGACGACCCUGAGAUCAUGGCUUGAGCUGAAAUCAAGAGUUGGACGCCUAACCGACUGAGCCACCGAGAUGAGAAAACUCAGAACAGUCAAGAUUAAGUGAUAACCCCCAACGCACGCGAGUAGCAAGUGACAAAGUGGAGCUCUGUACCACGGUCCCUCUGAUUCUCAGCCCUUGCCUUCUGUGCCUUUCCACGAGCCCUGAGGUGAAGAUGGGGAACAGAAGAUGCCAUUGUCCACGGAGAAGCCGAUGGAUGGCUGUGCAGAUGGAGUGAUGGAGCUCUCUCAAGUCAAGAGGAUAUUUUUCUUCCCGUCUUCCCUUUGAGCAGAUUAUACAAACAGGUGACCAAACCAAGGGCCUAACCAAAUUCAGCCCUCGGUUCUUUCCUACUUCUCUUUGUCUACCCUCUGUCAGGCCCUUGCAAUUUUUGUCAGUCUGUCUCUGUGACUUGAAUCAGCUCCUUUCCAGACUCCACUUGCAAAUCCCAGGGCACCUGUCACAUGGUCAUGGAGUGCUAAAGAGUGCAUGUAAAUAACACACCGGAAUCUGCAGCAGUUUUCGAUCCCCCCAAAGCCUCUAGAAAGAAAAAAAUUCCUUUUGACCAUGUACAUCUGGACCCCACGUGGGCCGAAGGAAUGAUGCCCAUAGUUCAGACCUAUCCGGUGUGAAAUGCAACUAAAGAAAUAAUGUAGCCCCGGGACUGAACUGGACUCAGUCCUUAGCUUGCCCCAGCUUAGCUUGAGUAAGGGGACCGGGCCCACAGCAGUGAUUGUUCCCCUUGGGGGUGGGGGUCAGUGCCACACCCUCCCCCUCCUAAGGGGAGAACGCCAAUACUCUUCAGCAUUG
Molecule: long non-coding RNA, 1013 nt
Organism: Neofelis nebulosa (Clouded leopard)
Lineage: Eukaryota; Metazoa; Chordata; Mammalia; Carnivora; Felidae
Exons: 3
Source: RefSeq, a predicted model, not a curated record